Felis catus (domestic cat) is the source of this 86-nucleotide transfer RNA. It matches the Rfam family "tRNA". Rfam says of the family: Transfer RNA (tRNA) molecules are approximately 80 nucleotides in length. Lineage: Eukaryota; Metazoa; Chordata; Mammalia; Carnivora; Felidae. The record is from Rfam.
GCCUCGGUGGCUAAGUCGGUUGAGCACCUGACUUUGGCUCAGGUCAUGAUCUCACAGUUCGUGGGUUUGAGCCCCCACAUCAGGCU